This 216-nucleotide long non-coding RNA is filed under the name Gossypium raimondii (Peruvian cotton). Its description in RNAcentral is "long non-coding RNA (GRAI_LNC002154)". The record is from RNAcentral. Lineage: Eukaryota; Viridiplantae; Streptophyta; Magnoliopsida; Malvales; Malvaceae.
UUUAUUUUUCUGUAAGAUUUUUUUAGGGUUCCCUCAACCCUUUGAGCACCGCCGCUCCCCUUUGCGCCAAGGCUCCGAUUGCGACGGAGAUGGCCACGACUCGACGGGUUCGGCGUAUGGGUAAGUUUUUCCUUCCUUUUCUUUAUAUUUUAAAUGAAAAAUAAAUAAGAAAAAUAAAAAAUAAAAACACGAUUCACCUUCGAAAAAAAAUCUUUG